GCCUUGACAAUUUGGAAGUCCAAGAUUCCACUAAAAGUUAAAAUCUUCAUCUGAUAUCUUCGAAGAGGAGUUAUGCCAACCAAAGACAACCUCAGCCGUCACAAUUGGCAAGGAAGCAAGAAGUGUAGCUUUUGUACUCAAGAAAAGACAAUCAAACACCUCUUUUUCUAG
RNAcentral lists this ribosomal RNA (171 nucleotides) under Triticum aestivum (bread wheat). Its description in RNAcentral is "partial small subunit ribosomal RNA". The record is from RNAcentral. Lineage: Eukaryota; Viridiplantae; Streptophyta; Magnoliopsida; Poales; Poaceae.